Molecule: long non-coding RNA, 5236 nt
Organism: Balaenoptera ricei (Rice's whale)
Lineage: Eukaryota; Metazoa; Chordata; Mammalia; Artiodactyla; Balaenopteridae
Exons: 2
Source: RefSeq, a predicted model, not a curated record
CUCCCUCUGAGGCCCCCAGACCCACCCCUUCCCGGCUGAGGCACCCCCCCCAACCCUGGGCUCGGGCUCAGACCCACCGGCAGCUCCUGCCCCCCGAUCCCGCCCCCACACCCGAACUCACUCUGCAGAAGCACAAGUUUCCAGAGCAGGACCCAGGCCCGCAGCUCCAUGGCGCCUGCCUGGCCCGCCUGGCCCGCCGGCGCUUUGUCUCACUGAGGCUCUAACUCUCCAGAAAAACAGCCCGGCCCCCCUCCCCCUCCCCCUCCACAGCACCCGCUGUGACAUCACGGAGCAGACCGCCCCCCUCCGCUCCUGCCCGGCCCCUUGGCCUCCCCGCCUUCCCCCGGUCCUUGGCCGGCCUGGUGGGAGGUGUCAGGUCUUGGCCACUGUGUUCCCAAGGGUGAGGGGAGUCACUCUGGCUUGGGUCCUGGAGAAGGUGGCAGUAGCCCAGCCCAGAAGGGGCAGGGGGGCCUGAGGGUAUGGCCCCAGAUGCCUUGUGGGUGUCUGUGACAUACAUACGGAGCCCUUCUGGGGCCACUGCAGGUCUGGGGUUCUGGGGGGAGCACCUCCUCACCAGCACCUCUGUAAGGGAACACUGGCCAAGGCAUCCCCCCACUGCAGGCCAGCAGAAAGGCAUCCUGGGCCCGACCCCAAGGACCCCAGGCUGCCAGACCACCAGGUCUUCCCGUUGGCCCUGUGGUGACCCUUCGCCUCUGGGGGCUGCAUUUCCUCAACUGUGAGGUGGGGAUAAGAGUCGCACGGGCCCUGGGGAGGCAGGGGUCCCCUUCCGGAGAGCAUGAGGGCACUGCUGUUCAUCAGUCAUCUUCAGCCAGCCAGGGGGAUGAGGGGUGAGGCGCCUGAGAGCUGAGCGGGGAGCCGGUGACCCCCUGUCCUGGUGCCCCACCCCAUCUGCUCACCAUCAAGAGCAGAAACACCACCCAGACCCGGGUACGGUGCUCCCAGGAUCACCCCCCGCCCCUCCCAGAGGGGAGGAAAUGAAGGAGGGUAUGGGAGACUUCCCAACAGAAAGCACAAAUUUGAAGCUCUGGGAAAACUUACAAAGUCACGUAAACAAAUGUGAAAUAACAGAGCAUGCACCGUGUAUCAAACCCACUCUUUCUAGUUAAGCAAACCUCAAAAAAAAAAAAAGAAAAAAAAUCCACCAAACUACCACAAAAACCCACGGUGCAUUUUUGGACUGCCCAUUUGGACUGAAUUAUGGUCACAGGCCCCAGGCCCUGGUGGGCUGGAGUCUCACUCUUGAACCCUGCCCUGGUCCCCAAGUCCUCAGACAAGCAAGGAGCCCAGCCCAGCCAGACUCUUGGGCUCCGGGCAAGGGGAGGAGGCUGCAGCUACUGCAGCAAGAGGGAAUGAGGGUUGACAACAGGUAGGACCGGCUGGGAGGACACAGGGCUGUGAGGACGCCCCACCCCCAACCUAACGGACCCAUUUCCUCAGCAGGAUCCAGGCCCUGGGAGGCGGAGCCCCCUUUCCAAACUGGAAUCAGGACUUGUCUCCUCACCCCACCCCCGGCUCCUCAAGGGCCUUUCAUUCUGGAUAAACAAGCCCUGCCUGGCUGGCCUUGAGGCCUGGCCUCUCCUCCUGUUUUUCUAACUGGUUUAUAUUAGCGCUGGUGGCCUCCUUCCCAGCCCUCCUCCCUCCUCUGCGCCCCCGCCCUUGUCUGUCUCUCUCCAUAGGCCUCGACCGCUCUAUUGCUCCAUCUCGGGCCUCUGUUCCUGCCUCUGGCGGCCAGGCUGUCUCUCCUCCACAGAGGGAAGGUGUCCAGGCAGGGCUGAAGGGAGGCAGAGACGGCCCAGGUCCGGCCCCUCAGUCUGCAAGGGGAGUGGGGUCAGCUCCCAGCGCUGAGCUAGGAGCCUGGAAGCACCCGGGCCACACCCUAAACUCCCUGCAGAGCCCUCCCUGUCUCAGCCCUGCGUGGAGGUCGGUGGAUUCCUGGCAUCGCAGAUCCAGCCCUCGGCUCAGCCCCAGUGCAGAAGUCUGAAGGAGGAAGCACACUCCUGGCACCCCUGGGCAAGGAUGGACAGGGCAGGGGAAGGCUGCAAACCCCUCCUCCCUGCCCCAUCCUGUUCCCUCUGCUUGAGCCCACCUCCCCGGUCCUUGGCAGGAAAUAGCCGCAGAUGAGAACAGAGGCCCAGGAGAGAACAGACCGGAACUAAACGGCCACCGCAACAUCACUGUGGUCCUCCUGAGCUCCAGCCCAGCCCCAGCCGGACCAGAGCCCUGGACCCACAUCCCCUCUCCUAGGAGUCCAGGCCAGACGAGGCGGGUCAGCCAGCGGGCCCCACUGAGACCGAGACUCAGACUCCGGCUCCAGUCCUGGGGACCCGGACAUUCCAGGCAGCCAGGGUCACUGGGAGGAGAAACCACAGGCACUCAGAGGCACAACCAGACACACGGACACGUGUUCACACAUGCUGUCGUUCAGCAAACGCUGCGCACCUACUGUGUGCCCGGCACUGGGAUUCAGCACUGCACCGGAUGCCGAGCUCCUGCCCUCUUGGAGCUGUUAGACGGCAGGCAGCCUGCAGACCCAGGUGCUGAUGAAUGAGGUCAUGUUAAACACGGCGAGAUUAAAGCAGGUAAGGGGCUCCCUCCGCCAGACCAACCAGGACAGCCUCUCGGGGACCCACACCCACAAGUGAAUAGCUAGGCUGGGGCCCAGGAAGCUGCCUGCCGGGUAAGGGAGAGCGUGCUGGGCUCUCACGUGAACUACGAUGAGGCCUAAGGGAGUUUACGUGCGGGAGAGAUGUGGUCUGGUGAUGCAGGAAACGCCAAGAUGGUUAGUUUAGAGCUGUCAGGAUUUAGACGAACACACCAGGGAAAUGGACAGAGUUCUGAGAUGCUCCCCAGGGCACCCAGCCCGUUUCCUCCCCAAGAGUGUGACCAACCUCGGCGGGAUAGCCCUUCGCACCCACGUGACAGACGUGACUGCAAGUUGCUCCCCGAGGCAGAGUAUGCAUCUAGGCGGCUGAAAAGCCUCAGCUUCUCUCGCCCCGCUGGGCUGUGAAAGGGCCCAUGCGGUUGACCAAGUGCAAAACCCUGAGGCCCCAGCCACCACCACCCCACACCCCCGCCCCCGCAAGAAGAAAAUGGAUCUCAGUCCUACAACCGCAAGGAACUGGAACGAAUUAUGCCACCCACCAGAUUAGCCUGGAAGAGGACCCCAGGUCUCGUAGAAGCACCAGGUCACUUGUGAGUGUGUUGGUCCUUCUUCUGGGGACAUGGUGGCCUGCCCGGUGCCGGGGCUCACCCGGUGAGGCAGGAGCUCUGCAGGCCCCGUGUCCGAAGAGCCGGGUGUCCCGUGGAGGCUCUCUUCUCCUUCCGGUGGAGACCACAGGUCAGACAGAGGCUGGGAGAUCAUCAGUCCACUGAGACGCUGAUUCGAAAAUACAGACGAGAAAAUCUGGAAAUAUAGAUCCAUUAUUUCAUGGGCCAGCCCUUUUAUCCUGAGAAAAUGUCAGGGAGCCAAGAUCAAGGAUUUUAGCGGUCAUGGUCAAACCCACAUCAGUGGUUUCCUGCGUGGCAUUAACAGGGUUCAGGCACCCCUCACUGUACUGCGCUUCACAGACCCUGCCCUUUUUACAAACUGAAGUUUUGGGGUGACCCUGUGUCAGGCAAGUCUAUCAGUGCCAUUUUCCCAACAGCGUUUGCUCACUUCAUGUCUCUGUGUCACACUUUGGUAGUUCUCACAUUAUGUCAAACCUUCCACCAGCAAAAAAUUCUGACUCGCUGAAGCCUCAGAUGAUGGUUAGCAUUUCUUAGAGACAAAGUAGUUUUAAAUUAAGGCAUGUAAAAUUUAAAAAAAAAAUUAUGGGACUUCCCUGGUAGUGCAGUGGUUAAGAAUCCACCUGCCAACGCAGGGGACACGGGUUCGAGCCCUGGUCCGGGACGAUCCCACAUGCCGCAGAGCAACUAAGCCCGUGCGCCACAACUACUGAGCCUGCUCUCUAGAGCCCGCGAGCCACAACUACUGAGCCCGCGUUCCACAACUGUUGCCACAACUGUUGAAGCCCGCGCGCCUAGAGCCCGAGCUCCACAACAAGAGAAGCCACCGCAAUGAGAAGCCCGCGCACCGCAACGAAGAGUAGCCCCCGCUCGCUGCAACUAGAGAAAGCCCACGCGCAGCAACGAAGACCCAACGCGGCCAAAAAUAAACAAAUAAAUUUUUUAAAAAAUUAAGGCAUGUACGUUUUUUAGACAUAAUGCUAUGGCACACUUAAUAGCCUACAGUUUAAACAUAACUUUUAUACACGCUGGGAAACCAAAAAGUUUGUGUGCCUCGCAUGACUGCGGUGGCCUGGAACCGAGCCCGCAGCGCCUCUGAGGCCUGCCUGCGUCCCCUCUGCUUGGCUCAUUCCGUUCGUGAAGGUGCAGGGGCGCCGGCCGGCUUGUAUGGGUCAUAGACUCGAACCAUGACCUCAGGCUCCAAGGUUGGCCUCUGUAUUUUCUUCUCUCCCAUCACGCCAGAAGUGUUUCCUUAUCGUCCUUAACGAUUCAUCAGUUUUGCAGCCAGGAAUCAAGGACCACAGACUGACUCCUAGCAGAUUUCACCCGUGGUGCCUUCACUGCGGGAGCUGUCACAAAGUCCCCAGGUCCAGCUGGUUGCUGGCGCCUCGGGCAGGCCAGGGCUGACAAGCUUAGAGCAGCCAUCAGGCCGGCUUCCUGGGGGCCGCGAGCGCUGCUUCCACGUGGACGGGCGCCCUGGGUCCCUGGCGCCUCACCAAGGAGACUUACCUUUAAAUGCGAUGCUUCAGCGAGGGAACCCCUUCACCACAGGCUCUGGCGACACCGAGGCUCCUUUCAGCAGCUCUGCUUUAUGAAGAGGGGCUCGAGCUCCCCACAGAGGCUGUGGGGGAAGCCACGGGAGGGAGGGAGGUCCGUGGUGUCCUGCCCACAACACAGUCCCUCAGCCUCCCCGAGGCCUUGACCCGGCCUCCCUGCGGCCCUCGGCACGGCCACCAACGCCCCUCGGCCCUGCAGCCUGGAGGGUGCCCACCUGCCCUGCCCGCCAGCCUGCCAGCCCAAGGACUCCUCUGCUGUCGGGGUUAGGGGGGUGGGAGGAGUGGGGGUGAACCAACCACCAGACUCCCCGAGCUUCCCGGUCCCAACUGGACCCAGGGCCACCCCUCGGGUACCACCGUCCUGAGCGGUUUCCUUCCAUCACUUCCCACAGAAUUUUCAGUUUUUCUGAAGAAUCACUGGCUUUACACCUGUA